This 83-nucleotide small RNA is filed under the name Salmonella enterica subsp. enterica serovar Panama. RNAcentral's name for it is "partial RtT sRNA". It matches the Rfam family "RtT RNA", at positions 48 to 130 of the family's 130-position model. From Rfam's summary of the family: This family represents a bacterial cis-regulatory element known as RtT RNA. The exact function of RtT is unknown although it is thought that it may be involved in changing the cellular response in relation to amino acid starvation. The record is from RNAcentral. Lineage: Bacteria; Pseudomonadati; Pseudomonadota; Gammaproteobacteria; Enterobacterales; Enterobacteriaceae.
CCGAGCGCAGCGAGAGAACGUUGCUUCAGCAACGGCCCGCAGGGCGAGCCACGCAGUGGCGAGUCAUCCUCUAUCACCGACCA